AAAAUAGGAUGUUAUCAUGAUUUCUUAAGAUGCUAUAAAGCUUUAUCGGUGAUUGAUGAAUUACAAUUAUUGAGUUGUGGAUAUCAGUAAAAUGGAGUUAGAUGUGGAAAUUCUAAAAUGGUCUUAAUACGGGAUCCUUAAUUCAUAUUCAGGAUUUACUUCCCUGUUAGGAUUAUUCCAUAAAUAUACUGAUUUGCUGUUCAUUAUGUUACUCCAAGUUUUGUUUUAUUAAUGUUUACGGAAAACCUAUUAGUACACUAGCCACCGAAGCAGAGCUUCUUUAGUUUGCG
This 290-nucleotide unclassified non-coding RNA is filed under the name Hevea brasiliensis (rubber tree). Lineage: Eukaryota; Viridiplantae; Streptophyta; Magnoliopsida; Malpighiales; Euphorbiaceae. The record is from RNAcentral.